RNAcentral lists this long non-coding RNA (1146 nucleotides) under Calidris pugnax (ruff). Its description in RNAcentral is "lncRNA (ENSCPUG00000012378.1)". Lineage: Eukaryota; Metazoa; Chordata; Aves; Charadriiformes; Scolopacidae. The record is from RNAcentral.
CAAUACAAGAGGAUAUGGGCAAAAGCGAGGCCUGUUGAAACCCAUCAGAAAGAUUGACUGGCACCCUGGGUAAGGAUGACGGACCCCAGGAUCCACAUUUUCCAACAUGGAUGUUGGAGCACACAAUGUUGUGGAGAACCACAGUGUUUUGGAUCAACUUUUGUUAUGGAAAUAUUUCCAAACUGUUGUCAUUUCUGCAUUGGUCACAACAUUGGCCAGGAAACAGGGGAAGAAGAACCAACUUUUUAUGAAGUUUUUGCCAACUCCACUCCAGGGCAAUGGCAAUUCUUCCCAUUUCAGGAGGAACACCCUUUUCCAGAUGACUCCUAAUAUUCUUCUUUCUUCAACUCAGAGCUGUGCAGAUGCACACAUCCUAGGAGUCUCCUAAGACAUGCAAAGCCCUGCCAUCAUUCUGUGGAACCACCACUGCCAGAGAAGCCUACUGUAGUGCAAAGCCGACAUGCAGGACUCAGGAAGCGCCCUGCUUUCACGUGUGGUGUGAAUUUCAAAGCUCGUCUCUUGUGGUGUUAUUUUUUCCUACUGACGGUAGUGGAGGGGAAGAGGAGCAAGUACCAUGUGAUCUUUGGUUCUUGAAUCCUUGGCAGGAAUUUUGAGACCACAACGCUUCUCUCCUUUGAAAUGCUUUCACUCGGAGAAGUUGUACGAUGCGGUGGAAUUUCUUUCUUCUUUAUAUCUGUGUUGGCUAAAGCAAGACAGAGGAGCUUGAAAAGGCUCGCCCUCCUCAAGGAACACUAUCUGAUUCGUAAGCAUUCCUAGAGGUUAAGGCUGGUGACUAUCAAGAAAGCAAAUACUUCACGCAAGGGUAAGUCCUCUAAUUGUGUUUGUGUUGAAUAGCCGCCAGAUCCCCAUGUCAGGAUGUCUGCAGUCACGGCUCUGAUCUCACCAUUCCUUCCUCGGCUGUUGCACAAUUGUGUUGCAUGUUUGUGGUAGGGGAGAAAGUUGGAGAGCUGGGCUAUGAAACCGUCUUAGGGAAGGAAGCCAUGUUUUAUUUUAGUUGCUUGGUUUGGACAAAAGCCUGUAGGAGAUUGAAUAACAUAAAAAAACCCAUAAUGUGGCCAAUUCAUGGAAACCAAACCUGGUCUUCUAUACAGAUAUGCGAAAUAUGAGGUUUAACAGCCAGGGUGG